UUCCUCUCUAAUUUUUCAUUUUCCCUCUCGCAACAGGUUUCCUCUUACUCUCAGUUCUUUCUCCUCCGCUUUUCUAAACUCUUAUUUUGCUUGUUUCAAUGGCUUCUCUAACUUUGACAACACUCCUCCGUGCCUGUGGUUUUCUCGGAGAGCAUUUCCCAUUGUGUGCGUCUUCCUCGAGAUUUCAGUGGCUGUAGAGCUCAUCUUUUAUCAUCACAGAGCAUCUUCCUCUCCUUCAGGUUCCAGAAUCCUAUGAAGGAUCCAUGGAAGCACCAGAGAUGCGAAUUAGGGAGGCUGAAGCUCUUCAUAAAUUUGCCGAAGCUGCAUACACAUCAAUGAUGAAUGCAGGGUCCAUUGCUUGAUGUUGGACGAAAUCCAUGUGUAUUUCCUUGUGUGUGGCUGUAUAGACAAGGGAUUUUGUCUCUGUGGACCCGAAACAGGCUCUACCUACCACAAUCACCACCACCAAUAACAACAGAUAUUUCAAGUUUUCUUUACCCUUUUCUUUUUCACUUUUUCUGAUUCUUCUAGUCACCAACAUGGCACCCUCAACCCCUCAAGUCAUCACCUGCAAAGCUGCUGUGGCAUGGGGAGCUGGGGAGCCACUGGUGAUGGAGGAAGUGGAGGCCAGCCCUCCCCAACCAAUGGAGAUUAGGAUUAAGGUUGUCUCUACCUCUCUCUGCCGUAGUGAUCUUUCUGCUUGGGAGUUUCAUAGGUAGAUGAUGUACCUCUGGAGCAUGCUUUGGAGGGAGAUGACACAACCCCUAACUCUUAGGAUCUCUCUUAGACUUUUCCAUAUUUUGAGAAACUUUAUAUUUGUAAAGUUUAAAUUUCUAGCCUAUUUUGGAUGACUGUAAACUCUAUACUAUCACCUACUACUCUUACUGCUUUCUAUUAUUAUAAUUUAUGCAUUCUACAUAUAUAU
Vigna radiata var. radiata (mung bean) is the source of this 925-nucleotide long non-coding RNA. RefSeq lists it as uncharacterized. Lineage: Eukaryota; Viridiplantae; Streptophyta; Magnoliopsida; Fabales; Fabaceae. The record is from RefSeq and is a predicted model, not a curated record. The transcript has 6 exons.